This 24-nucleotide non-coding RNA is filed under the name Rattus norvegicus (Norway rat). Lineage: Eukaryota; Metazoa; Chordata; Mammalia; Rodentia; Muridae. The record is from RNAcentral.
UGGUAGCUCCCUGCUGAUGUCCUC